RNAcentral lists this small RNA (333 nucleotides) under Pongo abelii (Sumatran orangutan). Its description in RNAcentral is "processed transcript". Lineage: Eukaryota; Metazoa; Chordata; Mammalia; Primates; Hominidae. The record is from RNAcentral.
CUUCGAGGCGACCUGGCCGCCGGCCGCUCCUCCGCGCGCUGUUCCGCACUUGCUGCCCUCGCCCGGCCCGGGGCGCCGCUGCCAUGCGGCUGGCGCUGCUCUGGGCCCUGGGGCUCCUGGGCGCGGGCAGCCCUCUGCCUUCCUGGCCGCUCCCAAAUAUAGGUGGCACCGAGGAGCAGCAGGCAGAGUCAGAGAAGGCCCCGAGGGAGCCCUUGGAGCCCCAGGUCCUUCAGGACCUCAAAAAGGUGCUUCAGAGAGUUGGUCCCAGGCCGUCCAACCCUGGUGUGGUACCAGCCCGAUGGCACUCGGGUGGUCAGUGAGGGACACACUCUG